This 120-nucleotide small nuclear RNA is filed under the name Suricata suricatta (meerkat). Its description in RNAcentral is "U4 spliceosomal RNA (ENSSSUG00005016700.1)". It matches the Rfam family "U4 spliceosomal RNA". Rfam says of the family: U4 small nuclear RNA (U4 snRNA) is a component of the major U2-dependent spliceosome. The structure of U4 snRNA from yeast and human has been reported. The record is from Rfam by way of RNAcentral. Lineage: Eukaryota; Metazoa; Chordata; Mammalia; Carnivora; Herpestidae.
AGCUUUGCGCAGUGGCAGUAUUAUAGCCAAUGAGGUUUAUCCCAGAUGCGAUUAUUGCUACUUGAAAGAUGGCUGCCAAUCUUCUCUCUGCUUUAAAAUUUUUUUGUUUAUCUUUGGUUU